UGGGGAAUUUUGGACAAUGGGCGCAAGCCUGAUCCAGCCAUGCCGCGUGCAGGAUGAAGGCCUUCGGGUUGUAAACUGCUUUGUACGGAACGAAAAGACUCCUUCUAAUAAAGGGGGUCCAUGACGGUACCGUAAGAAUAAGCACCGGCUAACUACGUGCCAGCAGCCGCGGUAAUACGUAGGGUGCGAGCGUUAAUCGGAAUUACUGGGCGUAAAGCGUGCGCAGGCGGUUAUAUAAGACAGAUGUGAAAUCCCCGGGCUCAACCUGGGAACUGCAUUUGUGACUGGAUAGCUAGAGUACGGCAGAGGGGGAUGGAAUUACGCGUGUAGCAGUGAAAUGCGUAGAUAUGCGGAGGAACACCGAUGGCGAAGGCAAUCCCCUGGGCCUGUACUGACGCUCAUGCACGAAAGCGUGGGGAGCAAACA
This 426-nucleotide ribosomal RNA is filed under the name uncultured bacterium. RNAcentral's name for it is "bacterial SSU rRNA". It matches the Rfam family "Bacterial small subunit ribosomal RNA", at positions 355 to 774 of the family's 1533-position model. The record is from RNAcentral.